This 29-nucleotide small RNA is filed under the name Bombyx mori (domestic silkworm). RNAcentral's name for it is "ovarian small RNA-27686". Lineage: Eukaryota; Metazoa; Arthropoda; Insecta; Lepidoptera; Bombycidae. The record is from RNAcentral.
UCCUACAAUGUACUCUUCGCCACUACGAC